UUAUUAAAAACAUGGCCUUUUGAUUAUAAUUUAAGGUCUUGCCUGCCCAAUGAUUGUAAAAUUUAAUGGCCGCGGUAUUUUGACCGUGCAAAGGUAGCAUAAUCAAUAGUUUUUUAAUUGAAAGCUGGAAUGAAUGGUUUGAUGAGAAAAUAACUGUCUCUAUUUUAAUUAAUUAGAAAUUUAUUUUUAAGUAAAAAAGCUUAAAUAAUUAUAAAAGACAAGAAGACCCUGUAGAAUUUUAUAUUUUAUAAUUAGAUUAUGAUUAGUAUUUAAUAUAGUUUUAAUUAAAGGAAUAUUUUGUUGGGGCGAUAAAAAAAUUAAUUUAACUUUUUUUUUAUUAAAACAUUAAUUUAUGAUUAUUUGAUCCUUUAAUUAAGAUAAAAAGAAUAAAUUACCUUAGGGAUAACAGCGUAAUUUUUUUUUAGAGUUCAAAUUAAAAGAAAAGAUUGCGACCUCGAUGUUGGAUUAAAAUAAAUUGUUGGUGUAGAAGCUAAUAAAAUUAGGUCUGUUCGACCUUUAAAAUUUUACAUGAUCUGAGUUUAAACCGG
RNAcentral lists this ribosomal RNA (548 nucleotides) under Semnorhynchus sp. ARC3959. Its description in RNAcentral is "partial 16S ribosomal RNA". It matches the Rfam family "Bacterial large subunit ribosomal RNA", at positions 1804 to 2619 of the family's 2925-position model. Lineage: Eukaryota; Metazoa; Arthropoda; Insecta; Coleoptera; Curculionidae. The record is from RNAcentral.